AUUGAACGCUGGCGGCAUGCCUUACACAUGCAAGCCGAACGGCAGCACGGGAGCAAUCCUGGUGGCGAGUGGCGAACGGGUGAGUAAUAUAUCGGAACGUGCCCAGUCGUGGGGGAUAACGCAGCGAAAGCUGUGCUAAUACCGCAUACGAUCUACGGAUGAAAGCGGGGGAUCGCAAGACCUCGCGCGAUUGGAGCGGCCGAUAUCAGAUUAGCUAGUUGGUGGGGUAAAGGCCCACCAAGGCGACGAUCUGUAGCUGGUCUGAGAGGACGACCAGCCACACUGGAACUGAGACACGGUCCAGACUCCUACGGGAGGCAGCAGUGGGGAAUUUUGGACAAUGGGCGAAAGCCUGAUCCAGUAAUGCCGCGUGCAGGACGAAGGCCUUCGGGUUGUAAACUGCUUUUGUACGGAACGAAACGGUCUCUUCUAAUAAAGGGGGCUAAUGACGGUACCGUAAGAAUAAGCACCGGCUAACUACGUGCCAGCCGCCGCGGUAA
RNAcentral lists this ribosomal RNA (500 nucleotides) under uncultured bacterium. RNAcentral's name for it is "partial 16S ribosomal RNA". It matches the Rfam family "Bacterial small subunit ribosomal RNA", at positions 30 to 523 of the family's 1533-position model. The record is from RNAcentral.